RNAcentral lists this transfer RNA (84 nucleotides) under Pseudomonadota bacterium. RNAcentral describes it as "Proteobacteria bacterium tRNA-Leu". It matches the Rfam family "tRNA". Rfam says of the family: Transfer RNA (tRNA) molecules are approximately 80 nucleotides in length. Their secondary structure includes four short double-helical elements and three loops (D, anti-codon, and T loops). Further hydrogen bonds mediate the characteristic L-shaped molecular structure. tRNAs have two regions of fundamental functional importance: the anti-codon, which is responsible for specific mRNA codon recognition, and the 3' end, to which the tRNAs corresponding amino acid is attached (by aminoacyl-tRNA synthetases). tRNAs cope with the degeneracy of the genetic code in two manners: having more than one tRNA (with a specific anti-codon) for a particular amino acid; and 'wobble' base-pairing, i.e. permitting non-standard base-pairing at the 3rd anti-codon position. Lineage: Bacteria; Pseudomonadati; Pseudomonadota. The record is from RNAcentral.
GCCGGGGUGGCGGAAUUGGUAGACGCGCCGGACUCAAAAUCCGGUUCUGGCAACAGAGUGAGAGUUCAAGUCUCUCUCCCGGCA